UACGUAGGUGGCGAGCGUUGUCCGGAUUUACUGGGCGUAAAGGGAGCGUAGGCGGACUUUUAAGUGAGAUGUGGAAUACCCGGGCUCAACUUGGGUGCUGCAUUUCAAACUGGAAGUCUAGAGUGCAGGAGAGGAGAAUGGAAUUCCUAGUGUAGCGGUGAAAUGCGUAGAGAUUAGGAAGAACACCAGUGGCGAAGGCGAUUCUCUGGACUGUAACUGACGCUGAGGCUCGAAAGCGUGGGGAGCAAACAGGAUUAGAUACCCCCGUAGU
This 271-nucleotide ribosomal RNA is filed under the name uncultured prokaryote. Its description in RNAcentral is "partial 16S ribosomal RNA". It matches the Rfam family "Bacterial small subunit ribosomal RNA", at positions 524 to 794 of the family's 1533-position model. The record is from RNAcentral.